GACGAACGCUGGCGGCGUGCCUAACACAUGCAAGUCGAGCGGGAAGCUUUUAAUUGAGACUUCGGUUGAUUUUGAAAGUGGAGAGCGGCGGACGGGUGAGUAACGCGUGGAGAACCUGCCUCGUACUGGGGGAUAACAGUUGGAAAUGACUGCUAAUACCGCAUAAGCACACAGUAUCGCAUGGUACAGUGUGAAAAACUCCGGUGGUAUGAGAUGGACCCGCGUCUGAUUAGCUAGUUGGUGAGGUAACGGCUCACCAAGGCAACGAUCAGUAGCCGGCCUGAGAGGGUGAACGGGCCACAUUGGGACUGAGACACGGCCCAAAACGUCCUACGGGAGGCAGCAGUGGGGAAUAUUGGCACAACUGGGGGAAACCCU
RNAcentral lists this ribosomal RNA (378 nucleotides) under uncultured bacterium. RNAcentral's name for it is "bacterial SSU rRNA". It matches the Rfam family "Bacterial small subunit ribosomal RNA", at positions 28 to 384 of the family's 1533-position model. The record is from RNAcentral.